Long non-coding RNA from Orbicella faveolata, 595 nucleotides. NCBI's taxonomy places the organism in Eukaryota, Metazoa, Cnidaria, Anthozoa, Scleractinia, Merulinidae. The record is from RefSeq and is a predicted model, not a curated record.
AUUACAUGCUGUAUAAAUAUAAAUAAAUUAUACAUGCAAUUUAAACUACAUGUAUCCAUAGUAAGACAAUUUUGCUAUUUUACUGGGAUAGGGUUUAUCAAGUAGUGAAGAUGAUGAGAUUACAAGGAAACAAAAGCCCAAAGAAAGCCAGAAGAAGAAGGCAAGAAAAUGCAUUGACUCAGGAAAGCCAUAUCAGCAAAAAAAGGAGGAGGUUCAAAAUCAAGCCAGAUAAAGAGGCUAAUCACUGUUGGGGACUCUGAAGAGGAGGAAGUUGUACCUCGGAAGCUAAAGAAAUCUGCCAAGCCGAUGGAAACAAAAACAAGCAAGGAGGUUGUGCACGUUAAGGAGAGCCCAGUAAAGCCUAGAGAAACUCCACAGAAACUGACGUCUGCUCUUGACUUCUUUGGUUCAGCUCCUGCAGAAAGAGAAUCACGAAAAGUUGUUGCUACAAAGAGGAAACAGGUUUGUAAACUGCUACUCCACAAGCAGAGCCCACUUUGAUCAUUCUAAAAUCAAAAGCAACUCUAUUCACAGGGUGGUGAGUUGACUACCACUUUGGGGCAAUGAUAUUUCAGUUUGAAAUGUGUACACAUGA